UACGUAGGGGGCCAGCGUUGUCCGGAAUCAUUGGGCGUAAAGAGCGCGUAGGCGGCUUGGCAAGUCCGCUGUGAAAACUCGAGGCUCAACCUCGAGAUGUCGGUGGAAACUGCUUGGCUAGAGUCCGGAAGAGGAGUGUGGAAUUCCUGGUGUAGCGGUGAAAUGCGCAGAUAUCAGGAAGAACACCUAUGGCGAAGGCAGCACUCUGGGACGGUACUGACGCUGAGACGCGAAAGCGUGGGGAGCGAACAGG
This 253-nucleotide ribosomal RNA is filed under the name uncultured bacterium. RNAcentral describes it as "partial 16S ribosomal RNA". It matches the Rfam family "Bacterial small subunit ribosomal RNA", at positions 524 to 776 of the family's 1533-position model. The record is from RNAcentral.